This 490-nucleotide ribosomal RNA is filed under the name uncultured bacterium. Its description in RNAcentral is "partial 16S ribosomal RNA". It matches the Rfam family "Bacterial small subunit ribosomal RNA", at positions 30 to 507 of the family's 1533-position model. The record is from RNAcentral.
AUUGAACGCUGGCGGCAGGCCUAACACAUGCAAGUCGAACGGUAACAGGAAGAAGCUUGCUUCUUUGCUGACGAGUGGCGGACGGGUGAGUAAUGUCUGGGAAACUGCCUGAUGGAGGGGGAUAACUACUGGAAACGGUAGCUAAUACCGCAUAACGUCGCAAGACCAAAGAGGGGGACCUUCGGGCCUCUUGCCAUCGGAUGUGCCCAGAUGGGAUUAGCUAGUAGGUGGGGUAACGGCUCACCUAGGCGACGAUCCCUAGCUGGUCUGAGAGGAUGACCAGCCACACUGGAACUGAGACACGGUCCAGACUCCUACGGGAGGCAGCAGUGGGGAAUAUUGCACAAUGGGCGCAAGCCUGAUGCAGCCAUGCCGCGUGUAUGAAGAAGGCCUUCGGGUUGUAAAGUACUUUUAGCGGGGAGGAAGGGAGUAAAGUUAAUACCUUUGCUCAUUGACGUUACCCGCAGAAGAAGCACCGGCUAACUCCGUG